Molecule: long non-coding RNA, 315 nt
Filed under: Capra hircus (goat)
Lineage: Eukaryota; Metazoa; Chordata; Mammalia; Artiodactyla; Bovidae
Description: lncRNA (ENSCHIG00000005968.1)
Source: RNAcentral
AUGAAGAGGAGCCCACAAAAGAAACCAGUUGCAAAGAUGAAAGGCCGGUUUGGUUCCCACCGCAACCUGGACACCGCCCCGCGCCGCGCCGCGGGAGCUGCAGCCCAGCUGGGGGCAAGGUCACGGUCACGGUCACGCUCCGCGCGGGGGGAGGGGAGGGGCCCGCAGCCGGCCCCACCCAGCGGCCUCUCCCCAGCCCCCAGCCCCGGGGAGGGGCGCCGGCGCGGGCACGCGGGUGAGUCCGGAUCCUCCCGGGCCCGCGGAGGCCACGCGGGGACUGCCACCCGCCUCCCAGGGGCGCGCGGUCCGCGCUGA